AUUAUUUUCUCUCUUUUGGGGAUGGGGCUUCCAUAAUUUUAUGUUAUUCUUCCUCUUAGUAGAAACAUGUGUCUCAUCUUGAGUAAAACAAAUAUCUCCAUUUAGUUUGUAGAUGGUAUCCUUUGGAGAUAAUGAUAGGGAGUUCAAACUUCCUUUUUAGAAGGACCAUAAGUUCUCUAGUAUGUUCUCUAGUUCUCUUCAGGUAAAUUGGUUGGUGGGAGAGAUUGGUUUGGUAGUUAAUGUAGACUUGGUUUGGGAUCUUAGAUGAAGGAUAUUCUUUUUUCUUAGGAAAAUACAUAUGUGGGAGAACCUUUUCACUCUACUUUGAGAUGUCACUCUUUCUCUAGAAAUAGAUUAGUAGAUGUGGAAGUGUUUUAUAAAGGAUUAUUUCUUAAUUACAUGUGUUUACCAUGUUCAACGAGUUAGAUUUAUCUCUACUUUAGCUACU
RNAcentral lists this long non-coding RNA (448 nucleotides) under Lathyrus oleraceus (garden pea). RNAcentral's name for it is "Pisum sativum (pea) long non-coding RNA (PSAT_LNC007048)". The record is from RNAcentral. Lineage: Eukaryota; Viridiplantae; Streptophyta; Magnoliopsida; Fabales; Fabaceae.